GCUCAACCGAGGAAGUGCUUCGAAAACUGGUAAACUUGAGUGCAGAAGAGGAAAGUGGAACUCCAUGUGUAGCGGUGGAAUGCGUAGAUAUAUGGAAGAACACCAGUGGCGAAGGCGGCUUUCUGGUCUGUAACUGACGCUGAGAUUCGAAAGCAUGGGUAGCAAACAGGAUUAGAUACCCUGGUAGUCCAUGCCGUAAACGAUGAGUGCUAAGUGUUGGAGGGUUUCCGCCCUUCAGUGCUGCAGCUAACGCAUUAAGCACUCCGCCUGGGGAGUACGACCGCAAGGUUGAAACUCAAAGGAAUUGACGGGGGCCCGCACAAGCGGUGGAGCAUGUGGUUUAAUUCGAAGCAACGCGAAGAACCUUACCAGGUCUUGACAUACCAUGAAAAGCUUAGAGAUAAGUCUUUCCCUUCGGGGACAUGGAUACAGGUGGUGCAUGGUUGUCGUCAGCUCGUGUCGUGAGAUGUUGGGUUAAGUCCCGCAACGAGCGCAACCCUUAUUAUCAGUUGCCAGCAUUCAGUUGGGCACUCUGGUGAGACUGCCGGUGACAAACCGGAGGAAGGUGGGGACGACGUCAAAUCAUCAUGCCCCUUAUGACCUGCGCUACACACGUGCUACAAUGGUCGGUACAACG
Molecule: ribosomal RNA, 637 nt
Filed under: uncultured bacterium
Lineage: Bacteria
Description: bacterial SSU rRNA
Rfam family: Bacterial small subunit ribosomal RNA
Source: RNAcentral